Long non-coding RNA from Triplophysa dalaica, 488 nucleotides. RefSeq lists it as uncharacterized. Lineage: Eukaryota; Metazoa; Chordata; Actinopteri; Cypriniformes; Nemacheilidae. The record is from RefSeq and is a predicted model, not a curated record. The transcript is spliced from 3 exons.
CCCACCGCAGUGGACCAAUCAGAUAACUGCUGACAUUUUUCUUUAUCUGUCACUGAUCUGACUCACUUUUAGUCACUGAGAUGGAGCGAGUAAGAAGUGCCCUCAUCAUACUGUUUUUGCACAAAACAGAUCCAGUAAAUCCUAUGACCUACAUAUUAAGAACGUCAGUCUGUACGAUGAGGGAAUCUAUUACUGUGGUAAAACAGAAAGAAUAUUCACAGAUGUAAAGGGCGAGUUACACUCCAAGCUGGAGUAUCAGUAUGGAAAGAGGAGAACUCGUCUCUCUCUGUUGGAUGGAUCCUACAGAGAAGCAUCAAUGUAAGAUGUGUGGAACUGGAAGAUUCAGCCUCCACUCUGAACUACCAUCUACUACCAUCUGGUCAUCACUUUGCUAAAAUGUGACUCUCUCUGCCCACAAUUUAAUUUACUGCUGCUUACUGCACUCACAAAGCUGAUUAGAUAAACUCUCUUAAGACAGUGGUAAUGAU